Molecule: small RNA, 692 nt
Filed under: Pongo abelii (Sumatran orangutan)
Lineage: Eukaryota; Metazoa; Chordata; Mammalia; Primates; Hominidae
Description: retained intron
Source: RNAcentral
GUUCACGCACUGCGUUCCUUCUGCAGAGUCAUCAGGACCACAGCCUACCUUCUCUACAGCCUGCAUUUGAAUUCCUGUCUUUAUUACUGGGCAUCGGCCUAUCAGGGCCUCGGCUCCACUCACUGGGUUUACGAUGGCGUGGGAAACAGUUAUAUUCGCUGUUACUACUUUGCUGUGAAGACCCUCAUCACCAUCGGGGGGCUGCCUGACCCCAAGACACUCUUUGAAAUUGUCUUCCAGCUGCUGAACUAUUUCACCGGCGUCUUUGCUUUCUCUGUGAUGAUCGGACAGAUGAGAGAUGUGGUAGGGGCUGCCACCGCGGGACAGACCUACUACCGCAGCUGCAUGGACAGCACGGUGAAGUACAUGAACUUCUACAAGAUCCCCAAGUCCGUGCAGAACCGUGUCAAGACCUGGUACGAGUACACCUGGCACUCGCAAGGCAUGCUGGAUGAGUCAGAGCUGAUGGUGCAGCUUCCAGACAAGAUGCGGCUGGACCUCGCCAUCGACGUGAACUACAACAUCGUUAGCAAAGUCACACUCUUUCAGGGCUGUGACCGGCAGAUGAUCUUUGACAUGCUGAAGAGGCUUCGCUCUGUUGUCUACCUGCCGAACGACUAUGUGUGCAAGAAGGGGGAGAUUGGCCGUGAGAUGUACAUCAUCCAGGCGGGGCAAGUGCAGGUCUUGGGGGG